RNAcentral lists this ribosomal RNA (506 nucleotides) under uncultured bacterium. Its description in RNAcentral is "partial 16S ribosomal RNA". It matches the Rfam family "Bacterial small subunit ribosomal RNA", at positions 355 to 874 of the family's 1533-position model. The record is from RNAcentral.
UGGGGAAUAUUGCACAAUGGGCGAAAGCCUGAUGCAGCAACGCCGCGUGAGGGACGACGGCCUUCGGGUUGUAAACCUCUUUAGCAAGGAAGAAGCGAAAGUGACGGUACUUGCAGAAAAAGCGCCGGCUAACUACGUGCCAGCAGCCGCGGUAAUACGUAGGGCGCAAGCGUUAUCCGGAAUUAUUGGGCGUAAAGAGCUCGUAGGCGGUUUGUCGCGUCUGCUGUGAAAACCCGAGGCUCAACCUCGGGCCUGCAGUGGGUACGGGCAGACUAGAGUGCGGUAGGGGAGAUUGGAACUCCUGGUGUAGCGGUGGAAUGCGCAGAUAUCAGGAAGAACACCGAUGGCGAAGGCAGAUCUCUGGGCCGUAACUGACGCUGAGGAGCGAAAGGGUGGGGAGCAAACAGGCUUAGAUACCCUGGUAGUCCACCCCGUAACGUUGGGAACUAGUUGUGGGUCCAUUCCACGGAUUCCGUGACGCAGCUAACGCAUUAAGUUCCCCGCCU